RNAcentral lists this ribosomal RNA (477 nucleotides) under uncultured organism. RNAcentral describes it as "partial 16S ribosomal RNA". It matches the Rfam family "Bacterial small subunit ribosomal RNA", at positions 331 to 799 of the family's 1533-position model. The record is from RNAcentral.
GUACACUCCUGCGGGAGGCAGCAGUGGGGAAUUUUGGACAAUGGGCGAAAGCCUGAUCCAGCAAUGCCGCGUGAGUGAAGAAGGCCUUCGGGUUGUAAAGCUCUUUUGUCAGGGAAGAAACGGUGAAAGCUAAUAUCUUUUGCUAAUGACGGUACCUGAAGAAUAAGCACCGGCUAACUACGUGCCAGCAGCCGCGGUAAUACGUAGGGUGCAAGCGUUAAUCGGAAUUACUGGGCGUAAAGCGUGCGCAGGCGGUUUUGUAAGUCUGAUGUGAAAUCCCCGGGCUCAACCUGGGAAUUGCAUUGGAGACUGCAAGGCUAGAAUCUGGCAGAGGGGGGUAGAAUUCCACGUGUAGCAGUGAAAUGCGUAGAUAUGUGGAGGAACACCGAUGGCGAAGGCAGCCCCCUGGACCUGUACUGACGCUCAUGCACGAAAGCGUGGGGAGCAAACAGGAUUAGAAACCAUAGUAGUCCCAUG